GUGGUCUAUGGUGAAUGCUAUCGCUGGAGUAAGUUGUUUACCUUCAAUUUGGGAAGCGUCAUGAUUGGACUACCCUGAUGGCGUCAUGAUCGCUGCUGAUUGCCUUUCAAAUAGGUUUUCAGCAUUCUGCUUACACCUUUGGCAUAGAGUCACAUAUUUCACAAUCCAACAUCAAUUGGUAGCAACAGCAGCCCUUCUCUCCAUCAUCCAGAAGGGUCUGAGAUCAGUGUUGGAGAUGAUGGUUCGGAACAACCCAUGGAAAGCUUAUCACUCAUUGAUGCUGUGAUGCCUGAUGUUGUUGCAAGUCGUCAACAGCAAACACAGAACAAUCAGAAACCACAAGUGGUAAAGACAGAACCACCAAAUUCCAAUGGAGAUGAACCCAUGCAUUCCUAUCGCUGGGAAGAGGAAACAGGAGUAGAGAUACCUGCCAGCAAAUCAACUGUACUACGUGGCCAUGAAUCUGAAGUUUUCAUCUGCGCCUGAACCCAACAACUGAUUUAUUGGCUUCUGGCUCUGGUGAUAGCACUAAGGACAUACGAAUGAAGUAAACGCUAUCAAGUGGGAUCCUCAGGGUAAUCUUUUGGCUUCCUGUUCUCACGAUAUUGUGUACAGUGUCGCAUUUUCUCCCGAUGGCAAAUACCUAGCAUCUGGUAGCUUUGACUAAGGUGUACACAGCUGGUCUACUCAGUCAGGGCAAUUGUUACACAGCUACAAAGGAACUAGAGGCAUUUUUGAAGUUUGCUGGAAUUCUCGGGGCGAUAAAGUUGGAGCAAAUGCUUUUGACGGAACCGGGUUGGUUACUAUUCACGUUCUUCAGCAAUCAGAUCCAUGCAGUGCUUGCUAAAUCCGUGCAGGUUUCAAGUGAAGCGAAAACGGACAAAUUACCAAACUGGAAUCAGCGCAAGCGACAGCUCUUAUGCAAGAAGUCGUACCUACCCUCACAAGUUUGUUUGAAGUGCAUAAUGGAAUUAUACAUCUCCAACAAAUAAGUCUUCUAAUCCUGUGGCAGGCGCACGGUUGAAAGCCGAAAAUUUCAAAAGGUUGAAAGGAGUACAAUCAUGGAAACAUUACUAGUUGGCCUUAGAACUACUCAUCGUCGCUCUCAUGAGACAUAUUGUAUCGGUCGAUUUCUUCGUCGUUAAUGUUUAAGGGGUGGUCGGGAACGACAGUGGGGAAUGAAGUUUUUAGUUCAAGAACUAUUUCUUCAAGUAGUUCCAUGACCACAGGGUAAAUAAGAUGGAGUUUUUCAACUGGGUCUCCUUUUUCCUAUGGGCCCUAAUUUUUUCGUGAGAAAGAAGCUUCUGCGUAAGCUUAACGUCCUCGCACAGCUGUUGAAGAACCAUUGUCAUCUUAUAAAACGGUAGAUUGGGCCCACCCGCCAACUGUUAAGAGUGUAAAAAUAAGUAUUUUAAAUAUUUAUAUCAAAUAUUUAUAUUUAUAAAUUUACCUUAUUCCAAUCAUUAUGAAGAACUGGGGAACUUGUGUUGAAAGCGGCAAAACUCGUCUGAUGGUACCAUCAAAGAGAGAAAAAGACAGGCCACCACGAAAUCAUAAUUAAGGGAAAUUUCAAAAUAUAAAACAAGCGGUUAACAAAUUGAA
RNAcentral lists this long non-coding RNA (1602 nucleotides) under Daphnia pulicaria. RNAcentral's name for it is "uncharacterized LOC124336552, transcript variant X1". Lineage: Eukaryota; Metazoa; Arthropoda; Branchiopoda; Diplostraca; Daphniidae. The record is from RNAcentral.